CGGUGUGUGCUGCAACCCAUCUGCCGUUUUCAACAUUUAAGCUUUAAAAUGGUGAUGGGAAAAGGGUGGUAUUAAGUUUGAAGCUUGACUGUUGCCACCGUUUUAGCAGUUUAUUAUCAACUGAAACCAAUUAAUGUAUAGAAACCAACUUUAAGUAGGGGAAACGAUGGAACCAAGAUGACUAAUUUUGGAGUUGCCUGGACGAUGUCAACGCUGCAAAUGUCAACUGACGAUGGGUAAUAAACGCAAGGCUUUCAAUACGGUGGGAUAUCAUAUCGACUUAAGUGAAAGAGUAUUUCACAUCCUCAUGUUACACGGCUGACCGUUUAGAUAUUUAUAUGAAUUUUCAUAGCUUCAACUCUAUGACUAUGUGACUCUAAAGCAAAUUUUACAACGAAUAGUUGUGGCCUAUGAUUUUGCCUUUUUGAAUGGAAAAGUGAAAAUGAGUUUCAGAAUAUUGCACAAGAAAAGGGUUCCUCGAGGAAUGUUAACUCUAGAUCUUUAUCGCCGUCGUGUCCACUGAGUUAUUUCGACAGCUGUUUCCGGGAUUAUUUAGCGUCAUUGUGGGUCGUGAUUUUUUUUCCUCAGAUGGGAGGUUAAAAAAAGAAAGAAAUGUAAACAACAAGCAAUGGUUCUAGAAGCCGUCAACAAUGAAGUAGCGCCUCAGUUGUAACCGUUAAAAAGUAAUUUGUUCAUUUGCAUUACAUAGACAUGGAACAGUUGUAGCUCUUUGUGCAGGGGGAAGUAAAUAAACGUCGGACAAGUUUCCUGUUUUCGUUUUCUUUCACUGGGUUGCAUUCUGGUUGCAUUGCCAGCUAACAAGCCAGUCAAUCGUUUGGUGAGAUGGCAACGUAAUGAAUUUGACUAUUGUGGCAGUACUUAUUACAUCUGUAGUUACAUAGAAAUUACACAAUAUGGCUUUGAGCUCCGGCGGGUGGGCUCAGAUGCCGCCUCCUGCUCAAUCCUCAAUCCUGGGAGCACUGCAAUCCACCUGCAAUACAGUACUCAUGUCUGUACGAGUAUCGGUGUGCCAUUCAGGACUCAGGCCGCUGUGUCUUCCAGGAGCUGGGGAUGAUACACUUCGUCUUCAACUAAGCAUGGACCCGAAUCGGGCUGGAGAGUUUCGAUUAGCCCUUAGGGAUGUCUGCAGUUCUGGUCGCAGUGUGUUUUUAGCUGAAUUUGAUCUACGGACAGUGAAAUAUGAGAUUAAAUCCCCGCGCUGCCAUGAACUUCGACUGACCACACCUCCUCAUGACUGCCUCAGCUUCAAAUUUCGCAGUGAGCAGGAGGCCCAGGAAUGGGCGACUGUUGUGAUGUCAUCACUGAGGGAGGCACAAAGAGUGGCAAAUAUCUCCCAGAAUUCAGUGGAAGAAGGACAUAAGAACAUUGAACCUGCUGAACAACAGGGUUUGACAGAAUUAGCACCCAAAGAGGAACUGUGUAUAGAGUUAGCCAAAGCCAUAGAGGCAGGAGAUACCAGUUCUGCCAUGCAACAUGCCACAGCCCUGGCCCAGCAGCAGUUGUCUCUCAGCAUCCAGCCCUCACAGAAGAACUAUGAGGAUGAAGAUAUCAAUCUUGCUGUGGUAGUGGAGGAUGCCUCUUCUUCCUGUUGUGUCACAGUUAAAGUGAUGCCACACAUGACUGUCUCUUCACUCAAACAGCAGAUUUUUUUGGAGUAUGGGUUUCACCCUCGGGUGCAGCGCUGGGUCAUUGGUCAGUGCCUGUGUACCGACGCACGCUCGCUGGCAUCUUACGGGGUGGCACGGCAUGGCGACACAGCCUUCCUGUACCUGCUGUCUGCCCGCCAGGCUCGCCUGAGUCGCCAGCUGUGCCAACAGGACCAGGAGAGCGCCCUCCUCAUGCCCAGCAGUGCCCCAAACUCGACCCCCGUCCCCACCUCCACCCCUAUCCUUGCCCCCACUCCACCCACCAAUGGACCUGCCUCUCAUGACUGGAGGGGCUACAGCACCCUGCCAUCCAGACUCAGCCACAGCAGCACGAACAGCAGUGCAGCAGAGAAGCUCAGCAUAGCAGACAUAGUGAAUCUGGACUCACUGCAGCUGGGUGGGCCCAAUGUCAAGGUCAAAAACACUCAGGCUGGCUGGGCGUGUCCAUCCUGCACGUUCAUCAACAAAGCGAGUCGUCCCGGCUGUGAGAUCUGUAGCGCGGCGCGGCCGGAGUCGCACCAGCAGGACCGCAUCCAACAGACAGGACAAAGGAAAAAGGCCAGAAAGAGAUCAGUUGGUGCAAAGAAGCGCAGUGCAGCACACAGGCACUAAACAAGGUCCUGUUGAAGGAGAGGUCAUCAUUUGAAUGAUGACGGCACAGAACAUUCCUCUGUGGAAAGGAGAGAGGAAGACGAGUCGAUGAAGGGAGCAGUGGGACAUCCAGCAAUGUCAUCUGAAACACAACUACUUCCAGUGCUGGAAACCUCCUCAUGACUCACAACUCACUACAACACAUCUCUGACUUGCCAAAUGUUUUUACUCAAACACAUAAUAGAACUAGAAGUGGUUACGCCUGCCGAGAACUUUUGAAGAAUGUCCGAGUGGAGUCAGACUCAAGCACAGAUAAAGGGUAGCACAAGUUUACCCCCCCCCCCCCCCCCCCAAUAGGUCGUCCCACCAGAACGCCACUGCGUAGGUCAGGAAAUCCAUAUUAUUGCAUCAGGUUCCCCCCAAGAUGGCAGCCAUCUGGCACUUUGGGCCCUAAUUUAAAUGCCGGGCAAAGUAUCUAGCUAAAGCUAACUAAAUAGCGAAUGUAAAUCUAUUUGCAAAUGUAUUACCAUGAGCAAGAUCCUAAGCACAAGCAUCAAAGGGUCAGCGAAAAGCGGUCACAUGCCACAUGAUGGCUUUAGUUCAUGCACGAGAACUUCACUCAUAGACGGACUUUGCACUUUUCCCAACAUUUAAAUUAGGGCCCUGUGUGUCUUCAGCAAGGCCCCUCAGUGAUGUAGCAGAGUCACCCUCACAAAACAUCAACCUUGGCUCUACCGCACCUUUUAUAUGCCAAUGUUAGAGAGGACUCUUUUCACGGCCAGAGGGGUUUGCUGAUUUCGACAGGGCCGUGCUGUGUAGCAUGCUCUACUGCAGUCCAAUUCUGCUCUGUCUACCCCUCCACUCUUUUAAACGAUAAACUGUGAACGAGUGUUGAGGAGGGUAACCUCUCAAAUGCCUUGUGAUUUUAUUUGUGAUUAGGUUCAGACUUAUUUUAAAACACAUGCAGGGGUGACCGAGGUAAUAUACAUAGUUGUGUUUGUAAGUGGUUUUAUUUUUAUAUUGCAAAUUAUUUAAGUUGUGAAUGUGAACUAAUUGCGAGACUGUAAAAACAAAUGUAAAUCCAAAUCUGUCCUAAUUAAUAAUCUAAAACAUGCUUUAUGGUGAUACUGUAAAUGAAUAAAUUACAUCAAAAAGUA
Molecule: RNA transcript, 3415 nt
Organism: Alosa sapidissima (American shad)
Lineage: Eukaryota; Metazoa; Chordata; Actinopteri; Clupeiformes; Clupeidae
Gene name: ranBP-type and C3HC4-type zinc finger-containing protein 1-like
Exons: 10
Source: RefSeq, a predicted model, not a curated record